Molecule: ribosomal RNA, 301 nt
Filed under: uncultured bacterium
Lineage: Bacteria
Description: partial 16S ribosomal RNA
Rfam family: Bacterial small subunit ribosomal RNA
Source: RNAcentral
CAGUCGCCGCGGGAAUACGUAGGGUGCGAGCGUUAAUCGGAAUUACUGGGCGUAAAGCGUGCGCAGGCGGUUAUGUAAGACAGGUGUGAAAUCCCCGGGCUUAACCUGGGAACUGCGCUUGUGACUGCACAGCAAGAGUAUGGCAGAGGGGGGUGGAAUUCCACGUGUAGCAGUGAAAUGCGUAGAGAUGUGGAGGAACACCGAUGGCGAAGGCAGCCCCCUGGGAUAACACUGACGCUCAUGCACGAAAGCGUGGGGAGCAAACAGGAUUAGAUACCCCGUAGUCCCUGUCUCUUAUACA